RNAcentral lists this long non-coding RNA (342 nucleotides) under Homo sapiens (human). Its description in RNAcentral is "HSALNT0226354". The record is from RNAcentral. Lineage: Eukaryota; Metazoa; Chordata; Mammalia; Primates; Hominidae.
CUGUGUGCAGUGAUUGAUUGAGCGCCGACUGUGUGCAGGGAUUGGUUGUGCCCCGACUGUGUGCAGGGAUUGAUUGAGCGCCGACUGUGUGCAGGGAUUGAUUGAGCGCCGACUGUGUGCAGGGACUGAUUGAGUGCCAGCUGUGUGCAGGGAUUGAUUGAGUGCCGACUGUGUGCAGGGACUGGGCCAUGUGGAGUGCUGGGUGUGUUGGGAGCAAGUCUGACCCGCACCUGCCCUCACAGGGGCUGGCGCACAGGAAAGGACCACAUGAAGCCACAUGGACGGAGGCCUGUGGUACUGGGUGUGCGGUGGGCGUAGCCAGGUGGUAGAGCGAGCUGGGUG